CCUACGGGAGGCAGCAGUGAGGAAUAUUGGUCAAUGGCCGGAAGGCUGAACCAGCCAAGCCGCGUGAGGGACGAAGGUUCCAAGCAUUGUAAACUUCUUUUGCCAAGGGACAAAAUCAGGUUCGCGACCCUGACCGAGGGUACUUGAAGAAAAAGCAUCGGCAAACUCCGUGCCAGCAGCCGCGGUAAUACGGAGGAGGCGAGGGUUAUCCGGAUUUAUGGGGUUAAAGGGGUGCGUAGGCGCCCUGUUAAGUCAGCGGUAAAUGCCCGGGGCUCAACUCCGGCGCGCCGUUGAAACUGGCUGUCUUGAGAUGUCGAGAGGUAUGCGGAAUGCGCAGUGUAGCGGUGAAAUGCUUAGAUAUUGCGCAGAACUCCGAUUGCGAAGGCAGCAUGCCGGCGGCGAACUGACGCUGAGGCACGAAAGCGUGGGUAUCGAACAGGAUUAGAUACCCGGGUAGUC
Molecule: ribosomal RNA, 459 nt
Filed under: uncultured bacterium
Lineage: Bacteria
Description: partial 16S ribosomal RNA
Rfam family: Bacterial small subunit ribosomal RNA
Source: RNAcentral